Molecule: transfer RNA, 90 nt
Filed under: Paracoccaceae bacterium
Lineage: Bacteria; Pseudomonadati; Pseudomonadota; Alphaproteobacteria; Rhodobacterales; Paracoccaceae
Description: Rhodobacteraceae bacterium tRNA-Ser
Rfam family: tRNA
About the family: Transfer RNA (tRNA) molecules are approximately 80 nucleotides in length. Their secondary structure includes four short double-helical elements and three loops (D, anti-codon, and T loops). Further hydrogen bonds mediate the characteristic L-shaped molecular structure. tRNAs have two regions of fundamental functional importance: the anti-codon, which is responsible for specific mRNA codon recognition, and the 3' end, to which the tRNAs corresponding amino acid is attached (by aminoacyl-tRNA synthetases). tRNAs cope with the degeneracy of the genetic code in two manners: having more than one tRNA (with a specific anti-codon) for a particular amino acid; and 'wobble' base-pairing, i.e. permitting non-standard base-pairing at the 3rd anti-codon position.
Source: RNAcentral
GGAGGAGUGGCAGAGCGGUUGAAUGCACCGGUCUUGAAAACCGGCGAGGGUGCAAGUCCUCCGUGGGUUCGAAUCCCACCUCCUCCGCCA